This 516-nucleotide ribosomal RNA is filed under the name uncultured bacterium. RNAcentral describes it as "bacterial SSU rRNA". It matches the Rfam family "Bacterial small subunit ribosomal RNA", at positions 1007 to 1523 of the family's 1533-position model. The record is from RNAcentral.
GCAUGCGACUCUUCGGAGGCGUUACACAGGUGCUGCAUGGCCGUCGUCAGCUCGUGUCGUGAGAUGUUUGGUUAAGUCCAGCAACGAGCGCAACCCCUGUUGCCAGUUACCAGCACGUGAAGGUGGGGACUCUGGCGAGACUGCCCAGAUCAACUGGGAGGAAGGUGGGGACGACGUCAGGUCAGUAUGGCCCUUAUGCCCAGGGCUGCACACGUACUACAAUGCCCAGUACAGAGGGGGCCGAAGCCGCGAGGCGGAGGAAAUCCUAAAAACUGGGCCCAGUUCGGACUGUAGGCUGCAACCCGCCUACACGAAGCCGGAAUCGCUAGUAAUGGCGCAUCAGCUACGGCGCCGUGAAUACGUUCCCGGGUCUUGUACACACCGCCCGUCACAUCAUGGAAGCCGGUCGCACCCGAAGUAUCUGAAGCCAACCGCAAGGAGGCAGGGUCCUAAGGUGAGACUGGUAACUGGGAUGAAGUCGUAACAAGGUAGCCGUAGGGGAACCUGCGGCUGGAU